UACGAAGGGGGCUAGCGUUGCUCGGAAUCACUGGGCGUAAAGGGUGCGUAGGCGGGUUUUAAGUCAGGGGUGAAAUCCUGGAGCUCAACUCCAGAACUGCCUUUGAUACUGAAGAUCUUGAGUCCGGGAGAGGUGAGUGGAACUGCGAGUGUAGAGGUGAAAUUCGUAGAUAUUCGCAAGAACACCAGUGGCGAAGGCGGCUCACUGGCCCGGUACUGACGCUGAGGCACGAAAGCGUGGGGAGCAAACAGG
This 252-nucleotide ribosomal RNA is filed under the name uncultured bacterium. RNAcentral's name for it is "partial 16S ribosomal RNA". It matches the Rfam family "Bacterial small subunit ribosomal RNA", at positions 524 to 776 of the family's 1533-position model. The record is from RNAcentral.